CGUAACGACUCUCGGCAACGGAUAUCUCGGCUCUCGCAUCGAUGAAGAACGUAGCGAAAUGCGAUACUUGGUGUGAAUUGCAGAAUCCCGUGAACCAUCGAGUCUUUGAACGCAAGUUGCGCCCGAAGCCUUCCGGUCGAGGGCACGUCUGCCUGGGCGUCAUGC
This 165-nucleotide ribosomal RNA is filed under the name Coleocephalocereus fluminensis. RNAcentral describes it as "5.8S ribosomal RNA". It matches the Rfam family "5.8S ribosomal RNA". From Rfam's summary of the family: 5.8S ribosomal RNA (5.8S rRNA) is a component of the large subunit of the eukaryotic ribosome. It is transcribed by RNA polymerase I as part of the 45S precursor that also contains 18S and 28S rRNA. Lineage: Eukaryota; Viridiplantae; Streptophyta; Magnoliopsida; Caryophyllales; Cactaceae. The record is from RNAcentral.